GAUGAACGCUGGCGGCGUGCCUAAUACAUGCAAGUCGAGCGAACAGACGAGGAGCUUGCUCCUCUGACGUUAGCGGCGGACGGGUGAGUAACACGUGGAUAACCUACCUAUAAGACUGGGAUAACUUCGGGAAACCGGAGCUAAUACCGGAUAAUAUAUUGAACCGCAUGGUUCAAUAGUGAAAGACGGUUUUGCUGUCACUUAUAGAUGGAUCCGCGCCGCAUUAGCUAGUUGGUAAGGUAACGGCUUACCAAGGCGACGAUGCGUAGCCGACCUGAGAGGGUGAUAGGCCACACGGGAACUGAGACACGGUCCAGACUCCUACGGGAGGCAGCAGUAGGGAAUCUUCCGCAAUGGGCGAAAGCCUGACGGAGCAACGCCGCGUGAGUGAUGAAGGUCUUCGGAUCGUAAAACUCUGUUAUUAGGGAAGAACAAAUGUGUAAGUAACUAUGCACGUCUUGACGGUACCUAAUCAGAAAGCCACGGCUAACUACGUG
Molecule: ribosomal RNA, 497 nt
Filed under: uncultured bacterium
Lineage: Bacteria
Description: partial 16S ribosomal RNA
Rfam family: Bacterial small subunit ribosomal RNA
Source: RNAcentral